Molecule: unclassified non-coding RNA, 235 nt
Filed under: plant metagenome
Description: partial contains small subunit ribosomal RNA, internal transcribed spacer 1, and 5.8S ribosomal RNA
Source: RNAcentral
UUUCCGUAGGUGAACCUGCGGAAGGAUCAUUACCGAGUGAGGGCCCUCUGGGUCCAACCUCCCACCCGUGUUUACUAUACCUUGUUGCUUUGGCGGGCCCGCCUCACGGCCGCCGGGGGGCUUCUGCCCCCGGGCCCGUGCCCGCCGAAGACACCUUAGAACUCUGUCUGAAGAUUGUAGUCUGAGUAAAAAUAUAAAUUAUUUAAAACUUUCAACAACGGAUCUCUUGGUUCCG